Molecule: long non-coding RNA, 2361 nt
Organism: Vulpes vulpes (red fox)
Lineage: Eukaryota; Metazoa; Chordata; Mammalia; Carnivora; Canidae
Source: Ensembl
UGUUUGGCCAGUGUAGAAGUGUUGAUAAAUUAUGUGCAACCCCUGAUGUGCAUAAAUUACCUGUUUUGUUCAAUAAAAAGUCCACUUAGCAAUUAGAUUUUCUGGAAUCUUGUAAGCUUGAGGUGUAGACUAGCAGACCAACUGUUGUUCUUUACCAAAUAAUGAUUGUUUACACACUGACCAUAAUGAGAGAUUUAGUUUCCCUUAAGCCAUAGAAGCAACCAUCUUCCCAUUCCUCUACCUUUUAAAUGUAGUCCUUCCAAGGUUACACUACAUUGUAUGCCUCUUUUUAGGAAGCCUAAUUAAAUGCAAUCACCCAUUACCCAAUGUCCAUGUGUCUGAACGAUGCCCUCUUUGCUUUAGUAGAAGAAUGGAGGGGAGCAGUUAGACUACUGACUCUCCAGUCCCAUUUCCUUCUUCUGAUUCUGCCAUAGUAGCUCUUGAUUUAUCUUGUUUACAACUUUCAAACUUUGGAAGUCUCCUUAUUAUCAAAGGCCUUGCCACUUACGCACAGGAAGCAUGACUGCACAGCACUGGGGUCUGUGGUUAACCUGCACUAUUUGGAUAUCUCCAGGGAGGGAGGAAAGGACAGCGGUUUGAGCUCCGUGGAAAUCCUGCCUGGUGACCUAGAACCCAGGCAUUGGUUGAGACCCUUUGUGGUGUUAGCUCACGCCUCUCUAGCUUAAACUUAAAAAACAAAAACAGAAACAUUUUUUUUUGAGUUUUGCUACUAAGGCAUAUUGCUAUUUGCUCCUUUCUUAAUACAAUGUCUUAAGUGUAACCCUAUGCUUGAGCACCAAAUAAGCGUCUUUAUGAAGUCAUAGGCAAAUUCAGUAACAUCCCUCCCCAAAUCUUACUUUUACUUCCACUCUGUUGAAAGACAGUAAGGUUUCUAUGGGAAGUGAAGAAUGACUUCAGGAACUCCAAAUGAUCCUCCUUCCUGGGAUACCCUUCACUGAUCGAAAUUUCUCCCGGGCUUUAAGCCAAGAUCAACCAACAUCCAGCACAUCAGACGAGUCCUUUCUGCCUCUACCAGCCUUCAGGGAUAAACCACUUUUUGAAACAUUGACUCGGAGGUAUUUCUCUACAUUUCAGCCUUUAAUGGUGUUUUGAUGUUCUGUGCCUUAUCAGCAAUGUUAAGGGUAAGCACCAUGCCUUUUAUUUCUUUGUGUCCCAUGUUGCCUACCAUGGUUUCAGCACCGAGUCGUUGCUUAUGAAUUAGUGGCUGCAAACAUGAAUGUGAUCUCUGAAUCCUCAUUGAAUGAUCAUCUUAGCCAUGGUAGCACUAGCUGCUAUAACAGAUAUACUCCUGAAAUGCAGAGCCUGACAUAGUAACAGCUUAUUAUUCUUUUUACACUUCUAUGUGGGUGUCUCUGGUGGAGUGGCCCUUCUUUAGGUUGUGAAGCAGGGACCCAAGCUCCUUCUACCUUGUGGACCAUAAGGUCUUCAAUAUAUGGCUUUCAAGGUUGUCCGGGGAGUGGUCUCUAUUCCCGGCAGCUGGAAGGGGGAGAAAGGUGAAGGGCUAUGUGUGCAAGGUGUCUAUGGAAUUGACCUGAAAGGGGCAUCCAAGACUCCUACUCAUAUUUUAUUUAUUGGACCUUCAUCAUGUGGUAUUAUUAGCUGAAUUAUACCCCCCACUUCAAAUUCAUAUCCUGAAGUCUUAACCCCCUGUAUCUCGUGUAUAUGGAGAUACUUUUCUUUAAAGAGGCAAUUCAGUUAAAAUGAGGUCAUUAGGGUGGGUUCUAAUCCAGUAUUACUGGUAUUCUUAUAAGGAGAGGAAAUUUACACAUGGACCCAUAUAGAGUGAAGACCACGUGAUGACACACAGAGAGAUAGCCAUCUGUAAGCCCAAAGACAGGCCUCAGAAGAAACCAACCCUGCGGACUUCUUGGUCUUGGACUUCUAGCCUCCAGAAUUGUGAGAAAAGACAAUUCUGUUAUUUAAGCCAUCUGAUAUAUAAACAUGCAUGCAUUAAAUGCAGUACUUAGUUAUGGCAACCCUAGUAAAUUAAUACACAUGACCACACCUGUUUGCAGGGCAUGUUGGAAAAUGUAGUCCUGUGGUUUAAGGAAGAAAAGGUAAUCGGUUUUGUUGAACACAGAGCAGUUUCUGCCACAAUACUAGAACUUGAUGGGAUGCUAGGGAGCAUCUGGUUCAAUUCUCUUUUCUUUUUUAAAAGUCAAGGUAAAGUCCAUCAAGUAAACUGAAUUGCUCAAGAAUCCUCUAGAUAUUUAAUGACUCCUUUCACUAACUACUUCAUUGUCAUCUAUUUAAUUAGAUCUAAAAAUGUGCUGAUCACUAUUUGCCACCGACAUUCCACAACAUCUACUAACACCUAAUAAAUGCCACCCUAGACCAGCA